Molecule: ribosomal RNA, 289 nt
Filed under: uncultured Myxococcales bacterium
Lineage: Bacteria; Pseudomonadati; Myxococcota; Myxococcia; Myxococcales
Description: partial 16S ribosomal RNA
Source: RNAcentral
CUACCGGGGUUUCUAAUCCUGUUUGCUCCCCACGCUUUCGUGUCUCAGCGUCAGUAUCUGUCCAGUUGGCCGCCUUCGCCACCGGUGUUCCUCUCGAUAUCUACGAAUUUCACCUCUACACCGAGAAUUCCACCAACCUCUCCAGUACUCUAGCCUGCCAGUUUCGAGUGCACUUCCCGGGUUGAGCCCGGGGCUUUCACACCCGACUUAGCAGACCGCCUACACACGCUUUACGCCCAGUAAUUCCGAACAACGUUUGCACCCUCUGUCUUACCGCGGCUGCUGGCAC